Molecule: long non-coding RNA, 281 nt
Filed under: Helianthus annuus (common sunflower)
Lineage: Eukaryota; Viridiplantae; Streptophyta; Magnoliopsida; Asterales; Asteraceae
Description: hypothetical non coding rna
Source: RNAcentral
UAGCUCUUCCUUCGUUACCUGUGACAAACCGUCCAAAACAAUCAGAUUUAUUGAAAAAUUAGGUUAGUGUCGAUUUGGCCUCAGUAUUAUCUCAAACCAGAUAAAUGAGUCUACUCAAUAAAUUUAUUUACCUUAAGAGAGGAAUUGAGUUGAAUGGGUCAGACAAGUUGCAAGUCAUCCACAAUAUUUAUUAUUUAAUGCAGGUCUACGCUCUUUAACUUAUUAUGUAAUAUAUAAUAAGCAACAAAUUGCAUACUUCAGUAAGAAAUGAUAAGUAUCUU